RNAcentral lists this ribosomal RNA (338 nucleotides) under uncultured bacterium. Its description in RNAcentral is "bacterial SSU rRNA". It matches the Rfam family "Bacterial small subunit ribosomal RNA", at positions 29 to 378 of the family's 1533-position model. The record is from RNAcentral.
AAUGAACGUUGGCGGCGUGGGUUAGGCAUGCAAGUCGCGCGACAAGGAACCUUCGGGUUCUGGAGGAGCGGCAAACGGGGUAGUAAGGCAUCGGAACGUACCCUCUUGUUGGGAAUAGCCGCGGGAAACUGCGAGUAAUGCCCAAUAAUCCCUACGGGGCAAAGGUCCGCCGCAGGAGGAGCGGCCGAUGUGAUACCAGCUAGUUGGUGAGGUAAUGGCUCACCAAGGCUUAGACGUCUAGGGGGUGUGAGAGCAUGGCCCCCACCACUGGGACGUGAGAUACUGCCCACGACACCUACGGGUGGCUGCAGUCGAGAAAUCUUCGGCGAAUAGGGCGG